UACGUAGGGUGCGAGCGUUGUCCGGAAUUAUUGGGCGUAAAGGGUUCGUAGGCGGUGUGGCAAGUCGGGAGUGAAAUCUCUGGGCUCAACCCAGAGUCUGCUUCCGAAACUGCUGUGCUUGAGUGUGGGAGAGGCGCGUGGAAUUGCAGGUGUAGCGGUGAAAUGCGUAGAUAUCUGCAGGAACACCCGUGGCGAAAGCGGCGCGCUGGACCACUACUGACGCUGAGGAACGAAAGCUAGGGGAGCAAACAGG
Molecule: ribosomal RNA, 253 nt
Filed under: uncultured bacterium
Lineage: Bacteria
Description: partial 16S ribosomal RNA
Rfam family: Bacterial small subunit ribosomal RNA
Source: RNAcentral